RNAcentral lists this transfer RNA (75 nucleotides) under Candidatus Gottesmanbacteria bacterium. RNAcentral's name for it is "tRNA-Asp". It matches the Rfam family "tRNA". From Rfam's summary of the family: Transfer RNA (tRNA) molecules are approximately 80 nucleotides in length. Their secondary structure includes four short double-helical elements and three loops (D, anti-codon, and T loops). Lineage: Bacteria; Candidatus Gottesmaniibacteriota. The record is from RNAcentral.
GGGGUUGUAGCUCAGCCUGGUUAGAGCGCUUCCCUGUCAAGGAAGAGGUCGCGGGUUCGAGUCCCGUCAGCCCCG